AUGCCUGGGAAAUUGCCCUGAUGUGGGGGAUAACCAUUGGAAACGAUGGCUAAUACCGCAUAAUGCCUUCGGGCCAAAGAGGGGGACCUUCGGGCCUCUCGCGUCAGGAUAUGCCCAGGUGGGAUUAGCUAGUUGGUGAGGUAAGGGCUCACCAAGGCGACGAUCCCUAGCUGGUCUGAGAGGAUGAUCAGCCACACUGGAACUGAGACACGGUCCAGACUCCUACGGGAGGCAGCAGUGGGGAAUAUUGCACAAUGGGCGCAAGCCUGAUGCAGCCAUGCCGCGUGUAUGAAGAAGGCCUUCGGGUUGUAAAGUACUUUCAGUCGUGAGGAAGGUAGUGUAGUUAAUAGCUGCAUUGCUUGACGUUAGCGACAGAAGAAGCACCGGCUAACUCCGUGCCAGCAGCCGCGGUAAUACGGAGGGUGCGAGCGUUAAUCGGAAUUACUGGGCGUAAAGCGCAUGCAGGUGGUUUGUUAAGUCAGAUGU
Molecule: ribosomal RNA, 486 nt
Filed under: Vibrio sp.
Lineage: Bacteria; Pseudomonadati; Pseudomonadota; Gammaproteobacteria; Vibrionales; Vibrionaceae
Description: bacterial SSU rRNA
Rfam family: Bacterial small subunit ribosomal RNA
Source: RNAcentral